Molecule: unclassified non-coding RNA, 487 nt
Filed under: Hevea brasiliensis (rubber tree)
Lineage: Eukaryota; Viridiplantae; Streptophyta; Magnoliopsida; Malpighiales; Euphorbiaceae
Source: RNAcentral
UUCUUCUUCUUCUUCUUCUUUUUGCCUUGCCCUCCCCUCGUCGUCCUCGUCCUCGUCCUCGUCCUCUCAGUUCUGUUUCUUCCUCCGGGCCGGACCUUCCCUGGCUGCUGCAAGUCAUUCUUCUUGGUGCAUCCAUGAGUGUGAUUCUAGCCGCAUAUUUUUCUCACUGCACCGAUUGAAAAUACAUCAUCCCUCAAGCUUAUCAACUUAAAGAUCUAUUGAUUCAAGUUAAAAGCAAGAUUUCUGGUUGAGUUUGGACCGACAUGUUUUGGGUUUGGUACUUUGGUUGGGAAUUGGUGGGUUUGCUUCAUCAAUUUCAAUUGUGAUUCUCUACCAUUGGCGAUGGAGGAAAGGUCUCCUUCUAAGGGACGCUACCUCCCGUCCCAAGCGGCCUUUUAAGGUGUACACAACCUCCGAUCCCAUUCACAGCUGUUUUGAAUUUUGUAGCCAAGGAAUUUAAAGACCCUCCCCAAACCAGCGCUAUCAU